RNAcentral lists this ribosomal RNA (505 nucleotides) under uncultured bacterium. Its description in RNAcentral is "partial 16S ribosomal RNA". It matches the Rfam family "Bacterial small subunit ribosomal RNA", at positions 28 to 507 of the family's 1533-position model. The record is from RNAcentral.
GACGAACGCUGGCGGCGUGCCUAAUACAUGCAAGUAGAACGCACAGUUUAUACCGUAGCUUGCUACACCAUAGACUGUGAGUUGCGAACGGGUGAGUAACGCGUAGGCAACCUGCCUGGUAGCGGGGGAUAACUAUUGGAAACGAUAGCUAAUACCGCAUAAUAUUGAUUAUUGCAUGAUAAUUGAUUGAAAGAUGCUAUUGCAUCACUACCAGAUGGACCUGCGUUGUAUUAGCUAGUAGGUGAGGUAACGGCUCACCUAGGCGACGAUACAUAGCCGACCUGGGAGGGUGAUCGGCCACACUGGGACUGGGACACGGCCCAGAAUCCUACGGGAGGCAGCAGUAGGGAAUCUUCGGCAAUGGACGAAAGUCUGACCGAGCAACGCCGCGUGAGUGACGAAGGUUUUCGGAUCGUAAAGCUCUGUUGUAAGAGAAGAACGGGUGUGAGAGUGGAAAGUUCACACUGUGACGGUAUCUUACCAGAAAGGGACGGCUAACUACGUG